Molecule: ribosomal RNA, 423 nt
Filed under: uncultured bacterium
Lineage: Bacteria
Description: bacterial SSU rRNA
Rfam family: Bacterial small subunit ribosomal RNA
Source: RNAcentral
CUAGGAAUAUUGCGCAAUGGGCGAAAGCCUGACGCAGCAACGCCGCGUGCGGGAUGAAGGCCUUCGGGUCGUAAACCGCUUUUAGCAGGAACGAUAAUGACGGUACCUGCAGAAAAAGCACCGGCUAACUACGUGCCAGCAGCCGCGGUAAUACGUAGGGUGCAAGCGUUGUCCGGAUUUAUUGGGCGUAAAGAGCUCGUAGGUGGCACUGUAGGUCAGAAGUAAAAACGCAAGGCUCAACCUUGCGUCGCUUUUGAAACCGCAGAGCUUGAGUAUGGCAGGGGAGAAGGGAAUUCCACGUGUAGCGGUGAAAUGCGCAGAUAUGUGGAGGAACACCAGUGGCGAAGGCGCUUCUCUGGGCCAUUACUGACACUGAGGAGCGAAAGCGUGGGGAGCGAACAGGAUUAGAUACCCCGGUAGUCC